GGACAUUUCCACAAUAAAACACUCUAAAAUAUUUUUUUUAAGAUUUCCUUUCUAGUCAUGUCAAGAUUAUAACUCAAAUCUGCAAGAGUCAGGAAAUUCCAAAUUUAUGUUGACACUUUCCCCUUAAAGCCCUCACCAGAUGAUAAACAGUGUAAAAAAUUCUGUCCCAAUUCAAAUGUUCCAAAUAUGACACGGGUUGCUAGGUUCUUGUCGUGAAAAGGUGCUUCGGGGUGAGAAAGAAUAGGCCUUUUAAGAAGCAAAUAGAAUCUUUCAGGCAAAUAAUUUUUCUAAAUGAUUUCUUAAUAUAGAAGGUGAAGUAAUCAUUUCAGAUGGGUCACCUCCUGGAUUGCAUUUUUGCAGACGGAACAGAAUCAAAUUCUGUGAUGGAAACCAAUGAGACGGUAGUGGAAUUUACCUGUGAAAUCAGCGGUCCUCAAGGCUCUGGGCUCUACCUGGAUCCUACACUCUUACCGGAAGACCUUGAUAUUGAUCAAUCAGGAAAUUCACAGAAUCUACAAAUCUGUAACUGAGGCCAAGAUUAUUUUCAAGUCUGAUGAUACAGAUGACAACUAUUUCAACACCAAUCUGAGUCCCAAAGAGUCAAGCCCCCCCCCCUUCCUACUGUUGCCACCACCGCAGCAAGGAGAUGCCCAACCCCUGUGCCCCUUGGCGUCUGACCCCAGACUGACUUGACCACACUGCCGUCUGCCUCCAUCAUGCUGAUAUACUUGGAUGUCGGCAGAGCUGGUAAAUAUUUGCCCGUGCAGGAGACAGCAAGUGGCGGUUUCUGCACAGGAGAGGCGAUGAGGCAACUCAUCCCCUUGUGUCAAUAGCGUGAAACCAAUAAUGGCAGUGUGCGAUGAUGGCACGCUACCUGUUAGAUUCAGACAAGGGAGCUACCAAUGGCCGUGACCUCCAGACUCCACGGCUGCGCCUUUGGAGUAGCCGGCACAGAGCAGGGUGCUUCCUGCCCUGGAUGUCAGCUCUUCCCUGCGUUCUGCUGCCCUUCACCCCCUGGCUCGGCUGAACUUCAAGAUCACUGCAGCGACAUUUUAAUUUUUCCCAAGAGGGUGUAGGAAUCAAAUGUGUCCACUCUUGAUCUCUGGGCUGUGAGUUCAAGUCCUUCGAUGGGUGUAGAGAUUACGUAAAAAGAAAAUCUUUAAUAAUGAUAAUAAUAAUAAAAUAAAUGUGUCCAUUACUUUGUCGUUAUUCCGGCUGCUUGUUACCUCCGUCUUGGGACUCUCUGUGAGAAGAAAGGAGCCAGGGAAGAAGAGAACCUCAGAUGAAUAGGAGGAAGCAGAACUGGACUGCUGGCAGAUGUUAGAAGCAUACAACGCCCAGUUGAGCCAAGUGCCCCAGAAUUACAUGUCUGAGAUGGGGGGCGGGGGCAGGAGCAGGGGAACUUAG
Acinonyx jubatus (cheetah) is the source of this 1407-nucleotide long non-coding RNA. RefSeq lists it as uncharacterized. Lineage: Eukaryota; Metazoa; Chordata; Mammalia; Carnivora; Felidae. The transcript has 3 exons. The record is from RefSeq and is a predicted model, not a curated record.